GUAGGGAAUAUUGGGCAAUGGAUGAAAGUCUGACCCAGUCAUGCCGCGUGCCGGAUGAAGGCGCUCAGCGUUGUAAACGGCUUUUAUUCGGGAAGAAGAGCAGGGAUGCGUCCCUGUGUGACGGUACCGAAUGAAUAAGCACCGGCUAACUCCGUGCCAGCAGCCGCGGUAAUACGGAGGGUGCGAGCGUUGUCCGGAUUUAUUGGGUUUAAAGGGUGCGUAGGUGGCCAAAUAAGUCAGUGGUGAAAUACGGUUGCUCAACAAUCGAGGUGCCAUUGAUACUGCUUGGCUUGAAAUAAUUGGAGGCUGCCGGAAUGGAUGGUGUAGCGGUGAAAUGCAUAGAUAUCAUCCAGAACACCGAUUGCGAAGGCAGGUGGCUACGAUUUAUUUGACACUGAGGCACGAAAGCAUGGGGAGCAAACAGGAUUAGAAACCCGUGUAGUCC
RNAcentral lists this ribosomal RNA (445 nucleotides) under uncultured bacterium. Its description in RNAcentral is "partial 16S ribosomal RNA". It matches the Rfam family "Bacterial small subunit ribosomal RNA", at positions 354 to 796 of the family's 1533-position model. The record is from RNAcentral.